CCUACGGGGGGCAGCAGUGAGGAAUAUUGGUCAAUGGGCUUACGCCUGAACCAGCCAAGUCGCGUGAGGGAUGACUGCCCUACGGGUUGUAAACUUCUUUUAUAAAGGAAUAAAGUGAGGCACGUGUGCCUUUUUGUAUGUACUUUAUGAAUAAGGAUCGGCUAACUCCGUGCCAGCAGCCGCGGUAAUACGGAGGAUCCGAGCGUUAUCCGGAUUUAUUGGGUUUAAAGGGAGCGUAGAUGGGUUGUUAAGUCAGUUGUGAAAGUUUGCGGCUCAACCGUAAAAUUGCAAUUGAUACUGGCAGCCUUGAGUACAGUUGAGGUAGGCGGAAUUCGUGGUGUAGCGGUGAAAUGCUUAGAUAUCACGAAGAACUCCGAUUGCGAAGGCAGCUUACUAAACUGCCACUGACAUUGAUGCUCGAAAGUGUGGGUAUCAAACAGGAUUAGAUACCCGAGUAGUC
RNAcentral lists this ribosomal RNA (460 nucleotides) under uncultured bacterium. Its description in RNAcentral is "partial 16S ribosomal RNA". It matches the Rfam family "Bacterial small subunit ribosomal RNA", at positions 338 to 795 of the family's 1533-position model. The record is from RNAcentral.